Molecule: small RNA, 108 nt
Filed under: human gut metagenome
Description: drum RNA
Rfam family: drum RNA
About the family: Firmicutes, Bacteroidetes (1 example), Proteobacteria (2 examples), Spirochaetes (2 examples). Terminator (Clostridia)
Source: RNAcentral
GGCGUUGAAGCAGUUGACGGGAUCAGCAUCCGUAUAGCUGUGGAGCCUUGAGCGAGGGUUAGACAGUUUCCACAGGCUGAUGUAGGGGCAACCCGAAAGAAAAUGUCA